GACCGUCCUGGGCAGUCUAGGGCGCGCGCACACACGCCCCCCGGGCUAGGCUGGGCAGCAGGCUGCGCGCACCCUACCGCAAGCCCGCUGGCUCCGCGCUGGUAGCCGAAGGAGGGGGCGGAGGAAAAGCUCCCGUGACGUCAGGGUCCCGGGGAAGUGGGCGGGAGGGGCGGGGCGGCGGGGGCGAAACGACUGCUGAUUGGUGCGCGCUCAUCAUUCACACAACACAAUGGAUCUCGAGCUGCCGGCCGGCUCGCGCACCUCCGGGCUCCGCACCGGCAGCUGGCUGCAACCCAGCGGUCACGCCUUUACUCCGGUGGGACCUCCCCGCGGCUUUGCACUUGGGGAGCUCCCGGUGGAGCUGUGGGCGCCGCCGAGUCGCGGCUACAGCCGGAGGAAGGGGCGAGAGGAAAGAACCUUCUGUUGGAUGAAAUAAAAGCAAACACUGGGCCUUCU
Molecule: non-coding RNA, 456 nt
Organism: Peromyscus maniculatus bairdii (prairie deer mouse)
Lineage: Eukaryota; Metazoa; Chordata; Mammalia; Rodentia; Cricetidae
Source: RefSeq, a predicted model, not a curated record